Molecule: ribosomal RNA, 256 nt
Filed under: Dactylopterus volitans (flying gurnard)
Lineage: Eukaryota; Metazoa; Chordata; Actinopteri; Syngnathiformes; Dactylopteridae
Description: partial 28S ribosomal RNA
Rfam family: Eukaryotic large subunit ribosomal RNA
Source: RNAcentral
UUUAUCUGGUAAAGCGAAUGAUUAGAGGUCUUGGGGCCGAAACGAUCUCAACCUAUUCUCAAACUUUAAAUGGGUAAGAAGCCCGGCUCGCUGGCUUGGAGCCGGGCGUGGAAUGCGAGCCGCCAGUGGGCCACUUUUGGUAAGCAGAACUGGCGCUGCGGGAUGAACCGAACGCCGGGUUAAGGCGCCCGAUGCCGACGCUCAUCAGACCCCAGAAAAGGUGUUGGUCGAUAUAGACAGCAGGACGGUGGCCAUG